GGAGGGAUGCCCGAGAGGCCAAAGGGACCAGACUGUAAAUCUGGCGCACACCGUGCUUCGGAGGUUCGAAUCCUCCUCCCUCCA
Molecule: transfer RNA, 84 nt
Filed under: Deltaproteobacteria bacterium
Lineage: Bacteria; Pseudomonadati; Myxococcota; Myxococcia
Description: tRNA-Tyr
Rfam family: tRNA
About the family: Transfer RNA (tRNA) molecules are approximately 80 nucleotides in length.
Source: RNAcentral